GACGAGUGAACUUGUUCACGAAGCAAUCGGAAGUGGUUCCAAGAAAAGCCUCUAAGCUUCAGUCAUACGAGACCGUACCGCAAACCGACACAGGUGGGCGAGAUGAGUAUUCUAAGGCGCUUGAGAGAACUCGGGAGAAGGAACUCGGCAAAUUGGUACCGUAACUUCGGGAAAAGGUACGCCCCGGUAGCUUGAUUGGUUUACUCCAUGAGGGUGAAAGGGUUGCAAUAAACUGGUGGCUGCGACUGUUUAAUAAAAACACAGCACUCUGCAAACACGAAAGUGGACGUAUAGGGUGUGACGCCUGCCCGGUGCUGGAAGAUUAAAUGAUGGGGUGCAAGCUCUUGAUUGAAGUCCCAGUAAACGGCGGCCGUAACUAUAACGGUCCUAAGGUAGCGAAAUUCCUUGUCGGGUAAGUUCCGACCUGCACGAAUGGCGUAACGAUGGCCACACUGUCUCCUCCCGAGACUCAGCGAAGUUGAAAUGUUUGUGAUGAUGCAAUCUACCCGCGGCUAGACGGAAAGACCCCAUGAACCUUUACUGUAGCUUUGCAUUGGACUUUGAACCAAUCUGUGUAGGAUAGGUGGGAGGCUUUGAAGCGGGGACGCUAGUUCUCGUGGAGCCAACCUUGAAAUACCACCCUGGUUUGUUUGAGGUUCUAACCUUGGUCCGUUAUCCGGAUCGGGGACAGUGCAUGGUAGGCAGUUUGACUGGGGCGGUCUCCUCCUAAAGUGUAACGGAGGAGUUCGAAGGUACGCUAGAUACGGUCGGACAUCGUGUUGAUAGUGCAAUGGCAUAAGCGUGCUUAACUGCGAGACUGACAAGUCGAGCAGGUACGAAAGUAGGACAUAGUGAUCCGGUGGUUCUGUAUGGAAGGGCCAUCGCUCAACGGAUAAAAGGUACUCUGGGGAUAACAGGCUGAUUCCUCCCAAGAGUUCAUAUCGACGGGGGAGUUUGGCACCUCGAUGUCGGCUCAUCACAUCCUGGGGCUGUAGCCGGUCCCAAGGGUAUGGCUGUUCGCCAUUUAAAGUGGUACGUGAGCUGGGUUUAAAACGUCGUGAGACAGUUUGGUCCCUAUCUGCCGUGGGCGUUGGAAAUUUGAAGGGGGCUGCUCCUAGUACGAGAGGACCGGAGUGGACGAACCUCUGGUGUACCGGUUGUCACGCCAGUGGCAUUGCCGGGUAGCUAAGUUCGGAAGAGAUAACCGCUGAAAGCAUCUAAGCGGGAAACUUGCCUUGAGAUGAGAUUUCCCAGAGCCUUGAGCUCUUUGAAGGGUCGUUCGAGACCAGGACGUUGAUAGGCUGGGUGUGGAAGUGCAGUAAUGCAUUAAGCUAACCAGUACUAAUUGCCCGUACGGCUUGUCCCUAUAACCUUAGCAGGU
This 1381-nucleotide ribosomal RNA is filed under the name Janthinobacterium sp. BJB301. Its description in RNAcentral is "bacterial LSU rRNA". It matches the Rfam family "Bacterial large subunit ribosomal RNA", at positions 1568 to 2925 of the family's 2925-position model. The record is from RNAcentral. Lineage: Bacteria; Pseudomonadati; Pseudomonadota; Betaproteobacteria; Burkholderiales; Oxalobacteraceae.